RNAcentral lists this ribosomal RNA (744 nucleotides) under uncultured prokaryote. RNAcentral describes it as "bacterial SSU rRNA". It matches the Rfam family "Bacterial small subunit ribosomal RNA", at positions 28 to 790 of the family's 1533-position model. The record is from RNAcentral.
GAUGAACGCUGACAGAAUGCUUAACACAUGCAAGUCGAUUCGAUUUACCUUCGGGUAUUGAGGAUGGCGGACGGGUGAGUAACGCGUAAGGAACUUGCCUCUUGGUCUGGGACAACUGUUGGAAACGACAGCUAAUACCGGAUAUUAUGAGAUUCUCGCAUGGGAAACUUAUGAAAGCUAUAUGCGCCAAGAGAGAGCCUUGCGUUCCAUUAGCUAGUUGGUGGGGUAACGGCCCACCAAGGCGACGAUGGAUAGCCGGCCUGAGAGGGUGAACGGCCACAAGGGGACUGAGACACGGCCCUUACUCCUACGGGAGGCAGCAGUGGGGAAUAUUGGACAAUGGGCCACAAGCCUGAUCCAGCAAUUCUGUGUGCACGAUGAAGGUCUUCGGAUUGUAAAGUGCUUUCAGUUGGGAAGAAGAAAGUGACGGUACCAACAGAAGAAGCGACGGCUAAAUACGUGCCAGCAGCCGCGGUAAUACGUAUGUCGCAAGCGUUAUCCGGAUUUAUUGGGCGUAAAGCGCGUCUAGGCGGAAAAAUAAGUCUGAUGUUAAAAUGCGGGGCUCAACUCCGUAUUGCGUUGGAAACUGUUUUUCUAGAGUACUGGAGAGGUGGGCGGAACUACAAGUGUAGAGGUGAAAUUCGUANAUAUUUGUAGGAAUGNCGAUGGAGAAGUCAGCUCACUGGACAGANACUGACGCUAAAGCGCGAAAGCNUGGGGAGCAAACAGGAUUAGAUACCCUGG